AGGUCUGUGGAUUGUAAACCUCUUUUGUUGGGGAAGAUAAUGACGGUACCCAACGAAUAAGCAUCGGCUAACUCCGUGCCAGCAGCCGCGGUAAGACGGAGGAUGCAAGCGUUAUCCGGAAUUAUUGGGCGUAAAGCGUACGUAGGCUGUUUCAUAAGUCUGUUGUCAAAGCGCSAGGCUCAACCUUGUAAAGGCAAUGGAAACUGCGAGACUAGAGAGAGAUAGGGGCAGRAGGAAUUCCAGGUGUAGCGGUGAAAUGCGUAGAUAUCUGGAAGAACACCAGUGGCGAAA
This 291-nucleotide ribosomal RNA is filed under the name uncultured cyanobacterium. RNAcentral's name for it is "partial 16S ribosomal RNA". It matches the Rfam family "Bacterial small subunit ribosomal RNA", at positions 412 to 720 of the family's 1533-position model. Lineage: Bacteria; Bacillati; Cyanobacteriota. The record is from RNAcentral.